Molecule: ribosomal RNA, 924 nt
Filed under: Tritirachium oryzae
Lineage: Eukaryota; Fungi; Basidiomycota; Tritirachiomycetes; Tritirachiales; Tritirachiaceae
Description: LSU rRNA
Rfam family: Eukaryotic large subunit ribosomal RNA
Source: RNAcentral
UAUCCUAUAAGCGGAGGAAAAAGAAAAUAACAAUGAUUCCCCAGUAACGGCGAGUGAAGAGGGAAGAGCCCAAAUUUGGAAUCUGGCGUCUUUCAGGCGUCCGAGUUGUAAUCUGGAGAGGCCAUAUUCGUGUCGGACCGUAGCAAAGUCUGCUAUUAUGCAGCGCCAGAGAGGGUGUUAGCCCCGUUUGUACUAUGGAUCCCCGAUGCUUAGAGUAGGUCUUCAAAGAGUCGAGUUGUUUGGGAAUGCAGCUCUAAGAGGGUGGUAAAUUCCAUCUAAGGCUAAAUAACGGCGAGAGACCGAUAGCGCACAAGUACCGUGAGGGACAGAUGAAAAGCACUUUGGAAAGAGGGUGAAAAAGUACGUGAAAUCACUGAAAGGGAAGCGCUUGAGGUUAGACGUGCAUUGUAUGAUUCAGCCAAUCUUUGGAGAGGUGUAUUUCGUACUAUUGCAGGCCAGCGUCAGUUUUGUGUGCUGGAUAAGGGUAUAGGGAAUGUAGCAGUAGCUUCGGCUGCUGUAUUAUAGACCUUUACUGGAUACAGCAUGCGGGACUGAGGAACGCAGCGUGCCUUUAUGGCCAAUCCUGCGGGAUUGUGUACGCUUAGGAUGCUGGCAUUAAUAGCCUUAAACGACCCGUCUUGAAACACGGACCAAGGAGUCUAACAUGCUUGCAAGUAUGUGGGUGUCAAGCCCUUGUGCGUAAUGAAAGUAAACGUAGGUGGGAGCCCUUCGCGGGGUGCACCAUCGACCGGCUUGAAACUACGUGUGAAAAGUCUGAGUAGGAGCAAGUAUGUCGGGACCCGAAAGAUGGUGAACUAUGCCUGAAUAGGGUGAAGCCAGAGGAAACUCUGGUGGAGGCUCGUAGGCGGUUCUGACGUGCAAAUCGAUCGUCGAAUUUUGGGUAUAGGGGCGAAAGACUAAUCG